GGACCUCUGAUCAAGAACAUGAAUGCAAUCUUCGGCCGUCGUUUGAACGGAAAUUCCUUAAUUCUUGGAAUCAUUGAGGCUCUCCACAGCAAUUCUUGAUCAUUCAUGUUAUGCAUAAUGACACUAAGUUGCUUACUUGAUGGUGAUUGUGAAGUGAAGAUAGAGAAUUGGCUAUUUGUGACUAGUACAUUGAAAGAGAAGCUUUUGUAAUGGAAACAAACAAGUAUCCCAAAAGUUAACCCGAAUACGAAGAAGAAUAAGCAAGAAAGGAGCUUAACAAGUGAAAUAUUCAUGGCCUUCCCACCUGAAGAAAAUGGAUUUUGGCUCUGGUUUUGGUUCUUGAUUUUGUCACACAUGAUAACAAUCUGUUGUUACUUUGUGAUAGAGGAAUAUUCUGAUAUCAAGCGAAGAAGCAAUGAAAAUUCCAAGGAAAUAACAAAAGUGAUUUUGAAGAUACAUUUGAGAACUAACAUUGAUAGAGAGAAGUGAGA
RNAcentral lists this long non-coding RNA (491 nucleotides) under Olea europaea subsp. europaea. Lineage: Eukaryota; Viridiplantae; Streptophyta; Magnoliopsida; Lamiales; Oleaceae. The record is from RNAcentral.